UAAAUAGGCCGCGAAACCGUUAGGAGGGAAACGCAUGCAGCCGAACGGGCCCUCGCCGGGUUCACGGGUGUGCGGCGGCGAGCCGCUUUGGUGGGCACCCCAGGGGUCCCCGAAGCCGGCCUCGUCCCCGCUGCCCUGCACUCCCGGCGUUCCGGGUCGACCAAGGGCGACGGUUUUGCGGGCGAAGCGGACGAUCGGGAGGUACCGCAGCCGGCCGGUGUCGGAGGCGAACUUACCAGCCGGUCGUUUCCGGGAGCUCGCGGACCGUCGAGGAGAGGGCGGCCGUGUCGCCCCCUCAGCGCAGGCCCCUCGCGGGCCGGAGCCCUUCUGACCGUUCAGCCGUCUCUCCGCGAGACUGUUCGCAGUGUCCGGCGGUGGCGUGCUCGCUCGGUCGGGAGGUGGUCUCACGUCUUGCGCUGCAGCCUCUUGGCCAGACGUCGGCUCCAUUCGA
RNAcentral lists this small RNA (451 nucleotides) under Demospongiae sp. GW7665. Its description in RNAcentral is "partial large subunit ribosomal RNA". The record is from RNAcentral. Lineage: Eukaryota; Metazoa; Porifera; Demospongiae.